This 774-nucleotide ribosomal RNA is filed under the name uncultured Neocallimastigales. Its description in RNAcentral is "partial large subunit ribosomal RNA". It matches the Rfam family "Eukaryotic large subunit ribosomal RNA", at positions 24 to 632 of the family's 3401-position model. Lineage: Eukaryota; Fungi; Neocallimastigomycota; Neocallimastigomycetes; Neocallimastigales. The record is from RNAcentral.
UCGCAUCUGUGCAUGCAGCAUAUCAAUAAGCGGAGGAAAAGAAACUAACAAGGAUUCCCCUAGUAACGGCGAGUGAAGCGGGAAGAGCUCAAAUUUGAAAUCUUCAAGGUUUUCCCUUGACGAAUUGUAGUUUAAAGAAGUGUUUUCUGUUGAAGUUUUGGUAAAAGUUCUUUGGAAUAGGACAUCAUAGAGGGUGAGAAUCCCGUAUUUGACCAUUACUUUCAGCUGUGUGAUACACUUUCAAAGAGUCGGAUUGUUUGGGAAUGCAGUCCAAAAUGGGUGGUAAAUUUCAUCUAAAGCUAAAUAUUGGCGAGAGACCGAUAGCGAACAAGUACCGUGAGGGAAAGAUGAAAAGAACUUUGAAAAGAGAGUUAAACAGUACGUGAAAUUGUCAAAGGGAAGCGUUUGACACCAGUGUUGUUUUUCUGAAAAUCAAUUAGAGAACUGUUUAUGCUAAGCUGUUUAGACUUUAUCAGCUAUCUGUUUAGUUUUGAGCUUUUCUUUAAUGCACUUUUCAGUUAACAAGUCGACAUCAAUUUCUUUUGCUGUAAAAAAGCUUGAGGAAGGUGGCUUGAGAUUCGUCUUAAGUGUUUAUAGCCUCUUGCCUAUGCAGUCGGAGAGAUUGAGGUCUGCAGCGUAGAUCCUUCGGGGCUAAAUGCAUUUGUGCUAAGUUAUAGCAUUUUAUAGACAACUUGUUGACUAUGAUUUGUCUUGUAGCUUACUCGCUUAUGUUAUUUUACCUACGCUUAGGAUGUUGAUAUGCAUGACUGAUAU